GCUCUCAAGCGAAAGACUGGCCAAGACGUGGAUGAAAAAUCCGAGGAAGCCUCAACAGAUAAAGAUAUGGCCGAGAAUGGUACCAAUGAAAACUUCCAAAAUACAGAUGUCUCUCCAUCG
This 120-nucleotide non-coding RNA is filed under the name Protocruzia adhaerens. The record is from RNAcentral. Lineage: Eukaryota; Ciliophora; Spirotrichea.